GAAAAUAGGGUGGAAGAAAUACAUGGCAUUAGGAGUGAUUAAGGAUCUUGUUUAAGAAUGUGGAGCUUAGUUAUUGCGGUAGUGACGUGGAUCUUCGUUUUAGCUUUGGAAUCGAGGUAGGGGUUUCUUAGGGAACUUAUCACUACUUGGGGUAUUUGUCUUGUUUAAACUUUGUGAAAUAUGUGUUAUACUUGGUAUACCUUUGUAAUUGAUGUAAUUGUGUAUAUUGGAAUAUGAUAAUAUUAUUGUUGAUAAUGUGGGAAUUGUGAUGAUGAUAAUUAUAUGCAUAUUGGAAGGGAUGGAUUUUAUUGGAAUAUCCGAGAUUGAGAUAUGGAAUGGAAAUAUUCUUUUGUGUGGUUGAGUUCGGCUCUCGUAUGGACCAGCAAGGAUGGUAAAAAUGAAAUUAUAGGAAUGAUACGAAGUAGUGGAGACUGGCGAUCGAGAGGAGAACAAGAUAACUAACAAAAGGGGAAAUUUGGGUUGAUUGAAUUACGGGGUUACUUUAUAUAAUAAAGCAUUUGGACCACCGCUGCAGUGGUAAAAUGCAUGGUAUGGGACAUGUAGGUCCGCUGUUUUAUUAAAUAGAUUAAAGGGCUGGGUAAUUAAAGUUAAGCUGCAUACAUGGAAUAUAAUAUAUGUUUGAUAACAUGUUAUAAUUGAUUAUGUGUUGCAUGACACUUGGUUUAGCCUUAACAAUUAUCUUUGAUCAAAUUUAUGUCCCUACUGAGCUGUGAUUUCGCUCACCUUGUACAUUUUAGACCUUGUAGGUUCAGUACAAGAUUAAAGAAGGGUAGACGAGCUGAGGUUGUGUUAGACGAGGGAUUUUAAGGAUUUUAUUGUCUUGUACACCUGUAAGGAUUUUGGAGUUAGUUGUAUAAGAG
RNAcentral lists this long non-coding RNA (881 nucleotides) under Malus domestica (apple). RNAcentral describes it as "long non-coding RNA (MDOM_LNC017165)". The record is from RNAcentral. Lineage: Eukaryota; Viridiplantae; Streptophyta; Magnoliopsida; Rosales; Rosaceae.